UCGAAUGAUCCAUUGGAUCAAAAAAUUUAAUCAUGGACCAGAUCCGAUCUGAUCUGAUUUUUUAUUAGACUAGUUUUGGAUCCAAUAUUUAGACCUGAUCAAGAAAUUAAGUUGGAUCAGAGUCACUCAUGAUCCGAUCCGAUCCAACCCAUUUGCACCCCUAGGUGCAAGUGAACCGGGGCAAAUCGUGAAGCAUAUGCAUGGUGGAGAGCAUGCAAUCGAGAAUUCAUGAAAUACAAGAGG
Molecule: long non-coding RNA, 243 nt
Filed under: Elaeis guineensis (African oil palm)
Lineage: Eukaryota; Viridiplantae; Streptophyta; Magnoliopsida; Arecales; Arecaceae
Description: long non-coding RNA (EGUI_LNC028756)
Source: RNAcentral